This is a long non-coding RNA of Rhodamnia argentea, 938 nucleotides long. RefSeq lists it as uncharacterized. The record is from RefSeq and is a predicted model, not a curated record. The transcript has 2 exons. Lineage: Eukaryota; Viridiplantae; Streptophyta; Magnoliopsida; Myrtales; Myrtaceae.
AUUUGAAUCAGCGGAUCGCCAUUGUUGCAGCCAUCAGUGGUAGCAGUUGCUGAAGGUUACUGAGCAGAGUUGUGUACACAUUGCGAAUCAGUACAAAAAACAUGGACGAGCCCAAAGUACCACCUCAUUCAAAUUGUGCAAAGCAGCCUCAACUCAAAGCAUUCUCUUCAGGCAAGGGCGUCAAAUCAAGCAAGCCUAGUUGGAGAAAGAAGAUUGCAGACACCAUUUUGAAGGCGUUGAAUUUGCGUGAGAAGACGCAAAAAGCGGGCGCUGGACGUGAAAUGGUCGGUAAAGACACAAAUUCGCAGUUGAAAAGCAAGAGAAGAGCAAAGUGCGAGGUAAAGGUGAGACCACGCCACCGGGGAAGAAGAUAUCUUUGUGCUUCUGUUGAUGUAGGAGAGGACAGCAGGGAAAGGAGGAAGGAAGAAUGGGAAUCACAAUUGAAUCUGUACAAUCUCCUGUCAUGGUAGAAACUCAGUUGGAUAUGAAACAGUAGUUUUGUGGCUGCCUCACUAGGGUCAAGGACAUCUUGCUCGAGGAAUUCGAGGGAGGUUUUCUUCAGUUUUGUGUUACAAAUUGUCGAUCUAACAAAACAGACUAUACCAAGGUAUUAUGUUCAUAAUUUGACAUGUUUUUAAAAAAUUACUAACCGCCAAUUCCUAAUUUGGAAUCAUCAUCUAUCCUCUCGCUAGAGACAGCCAAAGCUUCGAACCACAUCCGAUGUGUCCUGAAAAUGGAGCACAAUUCAUGUCUGUACUGGCAACUGUGGAGGAGGUUACAAGAUAAACGAGAUCAACCGAUACUUUGUAGGAAUUGUUUAUCACCUCGAUGGAUGUAAUACUAAUGCAAUUUGGACUAUUAAGUCAUCUACAAAAGAUGAAGUGAGAACUCCAACAUGGGUGUUCUCAUAGUAACAUCUGCUGAUAAAGUUUUGAGGA